GUAGGGGUUAUGUGAGGCAAAUCCUUGCAUUAUAAAUCCCUGAUGAAGGACGGGGACUGUGCAGCGAUGCAUGGGAACUUGGAGGAGCCGUACUGCCAAGAAAGAGCCGCUCAGGGAGGUUAUUUGUUGCCCGUACCGGAAACCGACACAGGUGGACGAGGGUAGUACCCAAAGGCGCACAAGAGAACCCCUGUUAAGGAACUCGGCAAAAUGCACGUGUAACUUCGGGAUAAGCGUGGCCUCAAGUAGGUGAUGGGGAGAAACCGAAGCUGAAAGAGGUUGCAAAAAAGAGGCUCUGGCGACUGUUUACCAAAAACACAGAUCUCUGCUAAGACUUAAGUCUAAGUAUAGGGAUUGAGACCUGCCCGGUGCCAGAAGGUUAAAGAAGGGGGUCAACGGGGUAACCCGUGAAGCUCUUGACUGAAGCCCUGGUAAACGGCGGCUGUAACAAUAACAGUCCUAAGGUAGCGAAAUUCCUUGUCGGGUAAGUUCCGACCUGCAUGAAUGGUAUAACGACUGGAGCGCUGUCUCAACAGGGGACUUGGUGAAAUUGAAGUAUCGGUGCAAAUACCGAUUACCCGCAGCUAGACGGUAAGACCCUGUGAACCUUUACUGUACCCUGGCAUUGUAUUCUGGCACGUUCUGUGUAGGAUAGGUGGGAGGCUAUGAAGCGUGGGCGCCAGCUUGCGUGGAGCCAACCUUGAAAUACCACCCUUAACGUGUCGGACUACUACGGAUGCUGUGGAAGCAUCUAGACAGUGUCAGGCGGGCAGUUUGACUGGGGCGGUCACCUCCCAAAGUGUAACGGAGGUGUACGAAGGUUCCCUCGAGCUGUAUAGAAAUCAGCUGAAAGAGCGUAAAGGUAUAAGGGAGCUUGACUGCGAGAGAGACAUCUCGAGCAGGGACGAAAGUCGGUCUUAGUGAUCCGGUGGUUUUUGUAUGGAAAAGCCAUCGCUUAACGGACAAAAGGUACUCCGGGGAUAACAGGCUGAUACCGCCCAAGAGUUCACAUCGACGGCGGUGUUUGGCACCUCGAUGUCGGCUCAACUCAUCCUGGGGCUGAAGUAGGUCCCAAGGGUUCGGCUGUUCGCCGAUUAAAGAGUUACGUGAGCUGGGUUCAGAACGUCGUGAGACAGUUCGGUCCCUAUCUACUGUGGGCGCUGGAUAUUUGAGGGGAGCUGUUCCUAGUACGAGAGGAUCGGAAUGGACGUACCCCUGGUGCACCAGUUGUCGUGCCAACGGCACAGCAGGGUAGCUAUGUACGGAAGGGAUAACCACUGAAAGCAUCUAAGUGGGAAGCCUCCCCCAAGAUUAGAUAUCCCUUAAGGUUCCAGGUAGACUACCUGGUUGAUAGGUCGCAGGUGUAAGUACAGUAAUGUAUUCAGCCGAGCGAUACUAAUAAACCGUUUGACUUGCCCCU
This 1420-nucleotide ribosomal RNA is filed under the name metagenome. Its description in RNAcentral is "bacterial LSU rRNA". It matches the Rfam family "Bacterial large subunit ribosomal RNA", at positions 1520 to 2925 of the family's 2925-position model. The record is from RNAcentral.